AGGGUGCUUACACUAGAUGGCGUUAUCGAAGAUUGACGGGCGGUCAAGAUUGCAAGGAUUGACACUGUCUUUGCUUGGCGGAGGCGCAUGGCGGAUGGGGCUUAGCGGAGGUGCUAGCGCUUGGUCCUGCUGCUAAUCGAUUGGUGGAGCAGUGGUCGAUGACGGAAUUGUGAUAAUGACAGAUGACGACCUCGUUAAGUGCGAUAAGAAUUGAAGAUGACGAUGAUCAAGGAGUUGGCUACUCGACUUUGUGGAGCAUGACACUGACUGGAGGGCGAAAGUUGUCUUCGACGGGCCAACAAGAGAGAAGUUUGACGCCAACAAGAGACUCAAGAGUAGUUUGAUCAUUUGCUGCCAGCAAGAUACUCAUGGGUGUCCAGAGUAUAUAUGGCGGUGGUCCUUGUGUUGGCGG
Molecule: long non-coding RNA, 412 nt
Filed under: Rosa chinensis
Lineage: Eukaryota; Viridiplantae; Streptophyta; Magnoliopsida; Rosales; Rosaceae
Description: sRNA RchiOBHm_Chr6g0291321
Source: RNAcentral